RNAcentral lists this long non-coding RNA (481 nucleotides) under Citrus maxima (pomelo). RNAcentral describes it as "long non-coding RNA (CMAX_LNC001748)". The record is from RNAcentral. Lineage: Eukaryota; Viridiplantae; Streptophyta; Magnoliopsida; Sapindales; Rutaceae.
UUUGACGGACCCCAUAUGGAUUUAUCAUGCAUAUCUUUUCCGAUUGGACAAAGCUUUAUAAUUUGUCCAAGUACGCACUCCAACCAACCAAACCAAAAUACUGAACCCACCUUUAAUUUGCUUCUCGUCCAAAUUUGGGCAAUCACCAGAGGCGGUGCAGAUCAUUGACACAGCUUAACUUAAUUAGCUGUUGCCUCAAAGAGGUGGCCUCUCGUGCCGGAGUUGGCAGGUUACUUGCCUUCAACUGAACGUUGGAGAAUCUAAGGUACUUGACUUGGGAGGAUUUGAGGGUUGAUUUGCAGGAACUGAUCUUCACAGAGCUGAUGAAAAAUACUAAUGAUCGACCGGGAUUUUUAAAAGAUGGAAGAAGGCGGUGAUUUGCUUAAAAUAGUGUAUAUUAUUGAUAUUCAUGGUGAACCUAAUAUGCAAGGACGGAGCUAACUACUAAAGGCUAGGGGGAACAACUGACUAAGACCCUUUA